Molecule: non-coding RNA, 84 nt
Organism: Bombyx mori (domestic silkworm)
Lineage: Eukaryota; Metazoa; Arthropoda; Insecta; Lepidoptera; Bombycidae
Source: Rfam
UUAACUCAAAUUUGUAUGAAGUUGGAACGUAUGCUUACGUUUGCCACUAGGGGCGCUGUUUCAAUAGCAUACAAAUUAGACUUA